This is a long non-coding RNA of Astatotilapia calliptera (eastern happy), 707 nucleotides long. The record is from Ensembl. NCBI's taxonomy places the organism in Eukaryota, Metazoa, Chordata, Actinopteri, Cichliformes, Cichlidae.
GUGAUUUCCUACAUGCUGGCAGAGCAGAGCAGCAGUUUGUGCUCACAGAUGGUGACGGUGUGGAGAGACGGUGGUGUUUCCUCAGAAGAACCAGCAGAGUCACAAAGGACACCAGUCCAUCUCACCACCUUGACUUGCUGACUGAUGCUCGUCUGCACUGCACAGAGGAAAUCAACUGACCGAGGAGUGUUUCUGAGUGAGGGGGAGAGGAGUCAUCAUCCAGGUAAAGUGACGUGGAUCAGUGGAUACACUUGUCUCCCCUUUAAAGGAGACGAUCCAAGUCAUCCUUAAAUAUGGGCAGCAUAUCAGUCUUGGACUGUCUAACCUGCAGCACUGAAUGACCACCACACAUGAGCAUGUUCCUGCAACAUUCAGCAUCUGAUCUGUCAUCUGUGUGCUUCUGCUUUUGUGUCACAUGUCAAACAGCUGGAGAGGAAACUACACCAGUGUACUGAGAUGUUUCACCAACACGUGGCAGAUGCUGUUCCUUCAUGGUGACAUCACCAGAGACAGCCCCGCCCACCUCAGGACCUCGCCAUUGAUCAUAAUGAUUAUAAUAAUGACAGCGAGCGGAACUAAGACUGUAAAAAUCCACGACAGGAAUUUUUCUUUCUAAUUAUUAAUGAAUAGUGAGAGCCUCUUUCUGUGUUUUGUCUGUUUUGGGGUUGUUGUUUUUUUUUUACCUCAUUUGUUACUAACAAAGUUCA